CGUAGGCAGCGAGCGUUGUUCGGAGUUACUGGGCGUAAAGGGUGUGUAGGCGGUUGUUUAAGUUUGGUGUGAAAUCUCCCGGCUCAACUGGGAGGGUGCGCCGAAUACUGAAUGACUAGAGUGCGGGAGAGGUGAGUGGAAUUCCUGGUGUAGCGGUGAAAUGCGUAGAUAUCAGGAGGAACACCGGUGGUGUAGACGGCUCACUGGACCGUAACUGACGCUGAGACACGAAAGCGUGGGUAGCAAACAGGAUUAGAUACCCUGGUAGUCCACGCCCUAAACGAUGCAUAUUUGGUGUGGGCAGUUCAUUCUGUCCGUGCCGGAGCUAACGCGUUAAAUAUGCCGCCUGGGGAUACAGUCGCAAGGCUAG
Molecule: ribosomal RNA, 370 nt
Filed under: uncultured organism
Description: bacterial SSU rRNA
Rfam family: Bacterial small subunit ribosomal RNA
Source: RNAcentral